Molecule: ribosomal RNA, 1728 nt
Filed under: Campylobacter coli
Lineage: Bacteria; Pseudomonadati; Campylobacterota; Epsilonproteobacteria; Campylobacterales; Campylobacteraceae
Description: partial 23S ribosomal RNA
Rfam family: Bacterial large subunit ribosomal RNA
Source: RNAcentral
UUUUAUCAAGUGGUAGGAGAGCGUUCUAUUUGCGUCGAAGGUAUACCGGUAAGGAGUGCUGGAGCGAAUAGAAGUGAGCAUGCAGGCAUGAGUAGCGAUAAUUAAUGUGAGAAUCAUUAACGCCGUAAACCCAAGGUUUCCUACGCGAUGCUCGUCAUCGUAGGGUUAGUCGGGUCCUAAGUCGAGUCCGAAAGGGGUAGACGAUGGCAAAUUGGUUAAUAUUCCAAUACCAACAUUAGUGUGCGAUGGAAGGACGCUUAGGGCUAAGGGGGCUAGCGGAUGGAAGUGCUAGUCUAAGGUCGUAGGAGGUUAUACAGGCAAAUCCGUAUAACAAUACUCCGAGAACUGAAAGGCUUUUUGAAGUCUUCGGAUGGAUAGAAGAACCCCUGAUGCCGUCGAGCCAAGAAAAGUUUCUAAGUUUAGCUAAUGUUGCCCGUACCGUAAACCGACACAGGUGGGUGGGAUGAGUAUUCUAAGGCGCGUGGAAGAACUCUCUUUAAGGAACUCUGCAAAAUAGCACCGUAUCUUCGGUAUAAGGUGUGGUUCGCUUCGUAUUAGGAUUUACUCCGAAAGCGAAGAAACUUACAACAAAGAGUCCCUCCCGACUGUUUACCAAAAACACAGCACUCUGCUAACUCGUAAGAGGAUGUAUAGGGUGUGACGCCUGCCCGGUGCUCGAAGGUUAAUUGAUGGGGUUAGCAUUAGCGAAGCUCUUGAUCGAAGCCCGAGUAAACGGCGGCCGUAACUAUAACGGUCCUAAGGUAGCGAAAUUCCUUGUCGGUUAAAUACCGACCUGCAUGAAUGGCGUAACGAGAUGGGAGCUGUCUCAAAGAGGGAUCCAGUGAAAUUGUAGUGGAGGUGAAAAUUCCUCCUACCCGCGGCAAGACGGAAAGACCCCGUGGACCUUUACUACAGCUUGACACUGCUAUUUGGAUAAGAAUGUGCAGGAUAGGUGGGAGGCUUUGAGUAUAUGACGCCAGUUGUAUAUGAGCCAUUGUUGAGAUACCACUCUUUCUUAUUUGGGUAGCUAACCAGCUUGAGUUAUCCUCAAGUGGGACAAUGUCUGGUGGGUAGUUUGACUGGGGCGGUCGCCUCCCAAAUAAUAACGGAGGCUUACAAAGGUUGGCUCAGAACGGUUGGAAAUCGUUCGUAGAGUAUAAAGGUAUAAGCCAGCUUAACUGCAAGACAUACAAGUCAAGCAGAGACGAAAGUCGGUCUUAGUGAUCCGGUGGUUCUGUGUGGAAGGGCCAUCGCUCAAAGGAUAAAAGGUACCCCGGGGAUAACAGGCUGAUCUCCCCCAAGAGCUCACAUCGACGGGGAGGUUUGGCACCUCGAUGUCGGCUCAUCGCAUCCUGGGGCUGGAGCAGGUCCCAAGGGUAUGGCUGUUCGCCAUUUAAAGCGGUACGCGAGCUGGGUUCAGAACGUCGUGAGACAGUUCGGUCCCUAUCUGCCGUGGGCGUAAGAAGAUUGAAGAGAUUUGACCCUAGUACGAGAGGACCGGGUUGAACAAACCACUGGUGUAGCUGUUGUUCUGCCAAGAGCAUCGCAGCGUAGCUAAGUUUGGAAAGGAUAAACGCUGAAAGCAUCUAAGCGUGAAGCCAACUCUAAGAUGAAUCUUCUCUAAGCUCUCUAGAAGACUACUAGUUUGAUAGGCUGGGUGUGUAAUGGAUGAAAGUCCUUUAGCUGACCAGUACUAAUAGAGCGUUUGGCUUAUCUUUAAUAAAGCAU